ACCUACCACAGCAUGGCUUGCCAAGCGGUACCGUGGCUGCACCCAGGAUCUGAACUGGUGAACCCUGGGCUGUGGAAGCGGAACGUGCACACUUAACCACUGUGCCACUGUGCCAGCACCUUGCACCUUUUUCAAUUCCCCAAGCCCCAUAGUCCAGUCCUUGGCUGUUUUUCUCCUGCUUACAAUUGACCUAGUCAGACAGAUUCUGGGGUGAGUGGACCUAUGGCUCCUAAGGCUGACGGGACGGACAUGUGGCCACCCACUAGUAUGUGGUUCCUGGUGGUGGAGGUCCUGUUGAAUUGGGCUCCUGCAGAAGGAUGGGAGUCUGUGGAUGGUACCCCAGUCAGCACUGAGACGGCUCUGCAUAGCCUAGGGGAGCAGGUCCCAGAGAAGGCCCAGCCUGCCAUGGGGCCGGCUGGCUGUUUUUGACAGCGUUAUGCCGCAACAUGGAUUCUGCCCUGCAGUAUGCAACCUGCAUACAGGAACUCCAAGCCAAGGAGCAUGCCUUGGAGGUGCAGGUGUGGCAGUCGGAACUGGAGCUGGAAAUGGUGCCUCGCAGUGAGACAGCGGAGGACAUUGAGGUUGGGGACUGCAGAGGAUGAGGACGUGGAGGAAACAUGCCCUCUCCAUGCUUGGCCAGUAAUCCAGCAAAAGAUCUACAGCAGGCUCCUGAUUCCCUGUGGAAGCAUCUGGCAACGUGGCUGGGCAGCCAAUGAUGCCAAAGUCCGGGGACCUGGCUUAUCUGUCAAAUUCUUGGGGGCUGUCUGGUCAGGCUCAGCAAUGGUUGUCCAGAAACCGCCCCAUGUGUGGGCAGGCCAUGAGGCAGGAACUGUGGGCCUUGGGCCAUGGAAAAGAGGUGACAGUGUAUCAUGUUCCUGGCCAUAUGACUCUGACUGCUCCUGGGAACGAUGAGGCUGAUGCUCUGGCCCAUAUGAGGUGGCUGGAAAGGGCCCCGUCUGCAGAUGUGGCACACUGGCUACAUCAACGCCUAAAUCAUGCAGGGAGCAAGACCGUGGGAACAGUGAGUAACACUGGGGGGUACCCCUCACGUGGCAACAAAUAAUGACAACAUGUAAAGAAUGUGCUGUAUGUGCCCAGGCCUUUCCUAAUAGAAGGAAACCAGUGUCCACACAGCAGCAAGUAGCUGGAGGGCGUGUGCCCUUGGUCUGACGGCAGGUGGACUACAUCGGACCAUUACCAAAGACCAAAGGCGCUGUGUACGCCUCUACGGCUGUCGAUAAGGCCACCGGUUCCCUCUUUGCAUGGCUCUGUGCAGCCACAGAUCAGAGGCAGACACUUCAGGCCCUGCAGGUACUCUGUGCCUUUUAUGGUUGACCCUUGGUCGUGGAGAGCGACAAGGGGACACAUUUUACAGGACAAGAAGUCCAACGGUGGGCCAGCACCAUGGAUGUUCAACGGCUUUUCCAUACUCCUUGUAACCCGGCUGCUGCCGGGAUGAUAGGAAGGUAUAAGGGGCUUUUAAAGCAGGGCUCAGACACAGCCAUGCAGCCUUCCUCCCUGGGAGGCUGGGCAACUCGGUUGCGGCAGGUGCUGAUGGUGUUCAAUGAACAGCCUCAAAAGGGAGGGCCAACUCCCAUAGAGGCAUUGCUGUGUCACAGCCCCCACACAGCUGCAAGCAGUGACCACGGAUGAGUUACCAAAGCCUGGCUACAGCCGAAAUGGAAACAUUCUUUUGCCGGCCCCAACAUGUCUCAACAUGGGGGAAGAACGAGAAUGGGAAUGGCCUUGAAGAUAAAAGCCCCUCACGGCAAGCAGCUGGCGCCUUGAGCACCCUGGGGACUUGGGGAACAACAAGACUUGUCACCUUGUGGGUGACUAGGACUUGGACCCCUCAAGUAACUGUCAGGCUGCCACAGACCGAUGCCGGUUCUGUCCUGAAGGGAACAUAUGUGAUUUCCAUGUGGCCAAUAACGAGUUCCCCUGUCCUGCUGCAUGUGGAGCCAGCUCUUGCAGUGCCUCUGCAGGCAGGAAAGGUGUGGUAUCAUCGGCUGGGACAGCCCCCGUUGGCAGCCACCCUCUUGUCUCAGGAUAAGUGGCUAGCCUGUGUUCUGACUGAAGGACGUGAUUGGCUUCUCCUAGUUCCUAUCACUGCUUUGUCCUUUCGCCCAUAGACGGAGUGUGGCGAACAGUGUUGUGGAAUGGGCACACACCUAGCUGAGGUGACCAACAUAUCUAACUGCUGGGUGUGCACAGAACUGCCCACCAGCAUGGCAGAAGGCUCGCUGUGACACAUCCACCCUGCUUCAGAAGGGAACCGGACCUGGCUGUGUUCCUGAGGACCUGCUGAUGCUCAGUGGGACCAAAGAAGGCACCAGGUGGACCAGUAGCUGUGCUGACAACAUGGACGAAAACGGCCCUGGGUGACCCCGAGCCUCUGGGAUGACUAUGGGUGGUUAUGCGGGGAGGCUGUUGUGCUCUGCGUGUCUGUGCCCCCAUGCAUAGAGCAACAGAAGGGGGAUGUGAUAGCAGGAUAGGUACCCAAGGAGCUGUGUCAGAAGAUCCAGGGAGUGACCCAGCCCAAGUAUUGGUGGAAUGCCCAUCCCUAUGUAGGGACAAUCCCCAUGGACAGAGUGCCCACGGGCAGUCUCUGGGUCUGUGGUAGUUAUGAAUGGCCUUAUCUCCUGGCCAACUGGACAGGGUGAUGCACUUGGGGGUGGCCCUACCUCGCAGCUGCUGUUCGGAGAACUUUGGAUGUGCGACCCAGCAAUUGGGAGAGGGUAAAAGGGCACUGUCACUGGGAGAAAUGAAUGCCCUGGUGGGUUUACGUCCUGGCUGUUCUUAGUCCGCGGGGGCUAUUGCUAUGGAGUGGCAGGUUACUGCCUUGACAGAGCAAAACGCCCGAGCCCUCAGUCAUACAGCCUGGGCCCUGUCUCUCUUAACUGAUGGAGUAGACCAGACCCGGAAGGUCGUGCUGCAGAACCGCAUGGCUCUAGACAUCCUUACUGCAGCACAAAGGGGGACCUGUGCAGUUACUGAGGUGCAAUGUUGCACGUUUAUACAAGAUAGUGCAAGGAACAUAUCGCAAGCCUUGCGAUAGGCCAGGCACAAGAUCUCGUGGAUCCAGACGUUGACAGGAGACCCCCUGCAGGAACAGUGAUCUAAGUUGUCCUCCUCGUGGCGGUGGGCUCUGACCACAUUAGGAGGUAUAUCCUGUCUCCUGAUGGUCAUUUGCUGUUCUCUGUAUUGCUGUUGUGGAAUGUAGGUCCAAGGCAUUGGGCUGUGUGCCCGUGCCUCCUGCAAACUCCCCCCACUGCUGAGGUCUGAUGGGGGUGGAGGGAAGGGAAAUGGAGGUACUGUGGACAAUCAGACCGGAGCAGCUUCUGGGCAUCUGUGACUCAGCAUGUCCCCUGCAGGCAGUGCAUGUGCCAACCAUGUAUGUAAACACCUUAUGUAACCUGCAUAAUGUAAACAUUGUCUGCUGGCUAUCUGCCACUUUUGUCUAGUAGUCAUUUAAAAGUGGCCACAAGGGGGGGCUGGCCCCGUGGCCGAGUGGUUAAGUUCGCGCGCUCCGUGCAGGCGGCCCAGUGUUUUGUUAGUUCGAAUCCUGGGCGUGGA
Molecule: non-coding RNA, 3576 nt
Organism: Equus caballus (horse)
Lineage: Eukaryota; Metazoa; Chordata; Mammalia; Perissodactyla; Equidae
Source: RefSeq, a predicted model, not a curated record